AAAAGAUAAUGAGUUGCCCAUGGUUGAUGAGUUGAUCUCAGGAGCUGGCCUUGAGUUGAUAUGCCAUACUAGUAUUUAGCUAUUUAAAGGCUUAGUUCCCUUGAUAGAGUCAUUGCAUAAUUUCCUCAGUCCCUUGAGUUGUGCGCAUUGCCUUCGUUUCUUCAUCUCUUGUUAUCUUUUUGAGUUGUGCAAAAUGGCCCGCCUAGUACCUGAAAAUUGGGUAUGCAUCAAAGCUGAUGAAGAUGAUUUCUUCAAAGGGAUUGAUUUUUCAAAAAUCAACAAUGCCCUUCUCAUCUCAUUUCUAGAAGACUCGCAAGGAGAUCAAGAGCAUGAUGAUGAACAAUUACUAAGCAUGAUGCGAUCCUUAGAAACAGAGAUCCAUCCCAAUACCAUGAACAGCUAUGAUCCACUUGUGGAAGAAGCCCAAUUAGGCGUCCCAACUGAGGAUUUUCAACUGCGCAGGCAUGGGCUCGUGAAGGGUCAGGAUUGCUUGGCUGCACUUGACAUGGAAUUUGAUUGGAUUGAUACGGAGCUUUCACCUUAUCAACCAACUGAUCAUAUGACCGGCCACUACAUGGAGCAUUUUGGUCAUGAAAUGGACGGUGUAGUUGAAUUUGAAGGCGGCAGAGAUUAUAAUUCCCCAGUCGCUUGGCAUGUUUCCUUGGAAGAGCAUGGGUAUAAUUUUUUGUGCCAAGAAACUCAUGACUCAAUGGUGUAGAUUUUUCUAAGGUGUUCAAAAUCCGUAAAUCUUAAUUGUAAAGCUCUCGCAAUCCACUAUAAAUUGUAGAUGAUGGUGAUCGAUGAAUUUUAUGACAUCUUUCUCUUUCUCUCUCUCCAUAUAUAUAGACACAUGAAAGUAUAUAUCCCUCCCUUAAGUCCAUUCACAUGCUAUAUAUGUUUGUAACUUCAUUUUUUACAUUGAUAUUUUCUUUCUAUUCGUACAAAACAGAUGUAGGGUUCUGCACAUUUUUUUCACUUAUAAUUGAAGAUAUAGAAUCAUCAUUGAUUUCACUACAAGGAAAAAAACUUCAGUAAAAAACGACUGCAGUCAUUGUAUCUUAACAAUGACUCAUUUUGUUUGUCAUCAUUCACUUUGCAGCAGUUUGAACCAUAUAAACUUAAAGUCUCAUUAUGCCAUUUUAAAACUAAGUACAAGCCAAUUUAUGCCACAAAAAAUAAAAAGAAAAACCAUACAACAUAAUUAUAAAUAUGUUAAACCAUCAAACAUGUAAAUUCAUAUUAAGAAGGCUAAAGUUUAAGAUACUAGGUUUGUCAUAAGUUUUUAUGCUAACAAAAAAGAUCCUAAAAUAUAAACAUAGACCUUUUAAACACAAAAAUUUGUUGUAAUCUUUCUUUCUACUGAAAACUUGGUUCAAAAAACCUUGCAAAAGCUUUACAAUGAGGGCUUUGUAGCCUUCCAUAUAUAACAUCCAAAAUUUAUCAACUAAUCCUGUCAAUGUUAGUAGGAGUACAAUGAAGCUCGUUUGUCACAGUGCAGUUCAUUAUUCAAUGGGUUUAGUUCUCUAAAUCCUUUGAAAGUGAUAUUGUACUUUCAAAAAUCUAUAUAGCAUCAAAUAGAAAGCAAUCAAAUAUGAAGUCUUGCUUUAGGUAGGAAACAAUUAAUUUCCAAAACUAGCUUCAAAAUCUAAAGAACCAACUUGAGUGUCUUGAGAAUAAAAAUUAUGGUCAAAGUUUGAGAAUAUAAAGAUUUACAAAGACUAGGAAAAGAAAAAAAACAAAAUCAUUAAAGCUCCAUGAGUGCAAUAUGAACCAAAAUGAUGUAGAACACAAGUGGCUACUGCUACUAUUAUGGUUUUAGUAUAGUAGACAUUACAUAUUAGUGGCCAAACAAAGGCUAUAUAACCUAAAGUGCACUUGGUUAAGUAACUUCUAUCUAUACAUCUACUAUUUCAUAUAACUUCGAAUAGAAAAGUCUAUUGUAUUUAUUGUCUUUAAAAGAAGCACAAUUUUUUUAGUAUGCAAUAGAAGUCCUCUCAUAUCCAACAACUUAUGAAAGUACAAGAAAAAAAAAUACUAUACAUAUAUUAUUUGAGACUCAAAUGAUUGUUUAAUAUAAUCAACAUUUAUAACUAAUACUUGAUGUUCAAAAUACCUAUUCAACAUUUUUGUCUUUUUAACUAUUACAUAUGUUUGUUUAAAAUGUAUAUGUAAAAGAGAGAGAGAGAGAGAGAGAGAGAGAGAGAGAGAGAGAGAGAGAGAGAAGAAAGAGCUUCACGUACUUGUUCAACAUGUUGGUUUGUUAAGUAUUAGUUCAAUUACAAACUCCACCCAUUUAUAUAUUAAUUGAUCAAACUCUCUUGGGGAAGAGAGUAUUCCAACCCUUCCCUACAUAGAGAUGACACAAAAAGGGGAAAGAACUAGGAUAUAGUUGUAAUGACCAAAAUCAAUGGGGAACCUAAAGAUGAGUCUAAGAAUGUAGUCACAAUGACUAAAAUCAAUGAAAAACUAAAAAAUAAGACUAAGAACAUUUUCACAAUUAUUGUAAUUGAUUAAAAACUAAAGCCGAGACCAAAGAUGCAAUUGCAAUGAUUGAAAUCGGUGAAGAAACUAAAGACUAAAUGACAUAAUCAUGAUAACUGAAAUUGAAGGGAAACUAAAGAUAUUCAAAGGAUAUGGUAAUGAUGACUGAAAUGGAUGGGGAAACUAAAGACAAACUAAGGACAUGGUUGCGAUGACUAAAAUUGAUGAGAACUUAAAGAUAAGACCAAGGGCAUGAUCACAGUGACCAAAAUCAAUGAAAAAACUAAAAAUAAGACCAAUGAUGCAAUCACGAUGAUUGAAACCAACAGGAAGACUAAAGACAGACCAAGGACAUGGUUGCAAUGACCAAAAUUAGCGAGGAAAUUAAUAAUAGACCAAAGAAUUAGUUGGGAUGAAAAGAGUCAAUGGAAAACUAAAGACAAAUCACUUUGUUGAUUGAAACCAAUACGGAAACUAAAGACAAACCAAGGACAUGGUCACAACAAUUGAAAUCGUUGGGAAAAUUAAUGAUAGACCAAAGAAGUAGUUGGGAUGAAAAGAGUUAAUGGAAAACUAUAGACAAAUCGCUUUGUUGAUUGAAACCAAUAGGGAAACUAAAGAUAAUCUAUACUCCCACCAUGAAGCUUAUGACCAUUCUAUGGAAGAAUAGAAAAUCAUUUCUACAAGAGAUCAAUAAUCUAUACUCUUAAAAUGGAGCUUACAUCCAAAUCUAUUGCAAUAAAUAUUCAAAUGAUAAAAUGAAAGAUCUCAUACAUUCAUCCCUUUAGAUCAUGGGAUAAAUAAAAAUCCUAUAACACAAAAGUGAGUGCAUGACUACUACUAAAAAACAACACAUUUUAAAUAAUAAUUCUCAUGAAUUCCAUACCUUUUGAGUAGUAAUUAUGCCUAAUAUGCCCAAGUAAUACAUUGUUGCCCUUACAAGAGAUGCUAAUGAUUUUUGUGAAGUUUCAUAGAUAUUUCAAGGUGAUUUUUGAAGAAUUGAGUGACAAAAGAGAAAUGGAAUUGAGGAGGGCAAAUAAUGUGGAUGAUGAGGAAGAAUCAAUGCACUUGGAGCAAGAUUUGGAGGUAGUUGAGGUGGAUUCAAAAGGAGAAAUGGAAGAAAUGAAAAAAGAAAGCUUAAAAAUCAAAUAUUUUCAUUUCGCAUGAUCAUGCGAAAAUGCAUGUCUAUGCGAAAUGGACCACAAGGUGGAAUUAUGUUGUAGGCUAAAGGAGAAUUGUCAAGCUGAUUUUGCAUGAUCAUGCCAAAAUUUCGCACAGUCAGGCGAAAUGCUCUAGAAAGCUAUAAUUGCUAUUACUGAAUUUUUUAUUUUGCACAACCAUGCGAAAUUGACUGAGUUCGUGCGAAAUGGUCAUUUUGUUGUUAAACUCCAAGUUGCUUGAUGAAGAAGUUUCCGAAAGACCUUUUAGAUGAUGUGAAGUGUCCACUUGACCUUGGCUUUUAAAUAAAAACUUGAUUUUCUCAUGAAAAAGCUUUUUUUGGACACUUCUAAUUGUAGAAUUUUUCAAAUUUUCUCUCUCAAUAGAAUUCUCUAUUUUUCUUCAUUUUUUAUGAUUUUCGCACUAGCCAAACAUGCCUUGUGAGACCAAAUCUCCAAGCAUGAGUGGCUAAAUCUCAUUUUUCUCGGAGAAAGGAGGAUCUAGAGGCAAGAUUUAUGGUGAAUUAGAGAAAUGAGCUUUAAUUGCAAAGGUAAUUUAAUUCAAUUGAUUGAUUAAUUAAAUUUUGGGGAUUUUUCUCUUCAAAUUGUUUUGGAUGAUUACUACAAUUCAAACUAGGUAGAUUCAUUAAAUUCUUAAAGUUAGAUUUGAUGAGAUUGAAUAGUUGCAUUGUGUGAAUCAUUUGAAGAUAAUUUAAGAUGAAUUAAAUAUAUGAUUUGAAUUGAUAUCUUGGAUUAAAUAAUCUAAUUUGAAGAGAAAUUAGAUCUAGACUUAAAGUUACAUCUAAAAUCGGUUUAGAUGACAAUUUAGGUUUUCAAUCUAACUUGAUGAAAAUUAGAUCUCAAUAUCUAUUCACCAUGGAGAUUGUUUUCUAGAAAAUCCUAACUCUGAGAAUUUCAUUUCCUAUUAAUUUUCUUCUAUUUUAUAUUUCAUUGUUCUUCUCAAUUUGAGACCAUUGUUAAAUUGAUUUUUCAUCAUGAAUUUUCAAAUCAAUUUCACUUGAUCACAAUCAUUUCUUCUUCUCACAUUCAAGCCUUAAUUACCAAGAAUAAUCCACCCUAGUGGAUGACACCUAAAAACCACUAUACUAUAGUAGUUUGUACUAAAACCACUUUUUGAUCGGGUACAAGCUACUCUAGAAUAGUGAAUUAGAUUAUAAAUUGUGUUUUGAUGCGGUAAAUCAGAAAAAUCAAGCGAUAAAAAAUGCCACUGCUGCCGAGGAUGGUGCCAAGGUGAUUGAGGUUUUUUUUUUGGUGAGGAUUAACCCUUGUGAUCCACAUCACAAGCUUGGUGAAGUUCUCUUUACCGAUUCUCCACUUUCAUCUUAGUUUUCUUCCAAAUUUCAUUUUUCUUUUUCUUUUUCAUUUUUUUUCUUUUUGUUUUGUUUUGUUUUUUCUUUGUUUGUUAUGUAGGUGAACCCUUGUAUGCUCUAUUAAGAACGAAAUUCUAAGGGAAGGUUGGAAAGAACUAAUUCAUCUACUCAAGUGCUAAAUCUUGGAAUUGCUACAAAUAUAAUGAAACCUCAAGGUGAAGAUCAACAUGGUCCUAAUGAAGAAAAUUUCCAUUUGUAUCAAUCUAUGAGGGACCAUAUGCAUCCGCCGAGAAUGAGUGCACUAUCAUGCAUUGUUCCUCCAUGUGAGAAAAUGAUCAUCCAUCCUUAUUUGGUGCCACUUUUUCCUUAAUUUCAUGGAAUGGAGAAUGAGAAUCCUUACACUCAUAUAAAGGAUUUUGAAGAAGUAUGUCAUACUUUUCAAAAAGGGAUUGCAUCAAUUGAUCUUAUGAGACUUAAAUUGUUUCCUUUCACUCUCAAGGACAAGAAUAAAGUGUAGUUGAAUUCUUUGAGAACUCAAAGUAUCCACUCAUGGCCAAAACUACAAGCCAAAUUUUUUAAGAAAUUUUUUCCAGCUCAUUGUACUAGUGGAUUAAGAAAAUUUCCAAUUUUGUGGCUUUGGAGAAUGGAAUUUUUUUUGCUUGUUGGGAGAGAUAUAUGGCGGUUGUCAAUGCUUGUCCUCAUCAUGGUUUUGACACUUGGAUGUCAGUAAGCUACUUUUAUGAAGGUAUGUCGGCAGUUAUGAAACAAUUGCUAGAAACCAUGUGUGGAGGUGACUUUAUGAGCAAAAGUCCUUAUGAAGCUUUGGAUUUUCUAAACUAUGUGGCAGAAAUAGCUAGAUCAUGGGAUGAACCUCAUGGAAAAGACUCAAGCAAAGCCAAGCCCUAGAACAAUUCUAAAGAAGGAAUGUACACGUACUUUGAAUGAAGAUGUAGACAUGUAAACAAAAAUGGUAGCUUUAUCAAGGAGAUUGGAAGAACUUGAAGCAAGAGAAGCUCAUGAAAUCAAAGUGGUUAAUGAUAUUCCAAUGAAAAUUGUUUAAUGCUCUAUAUGUCAAUCCGAUCAACAUCUAGUGAGUGAAUGCCCCACCAUACCAACUGUUAGUGAAAUGUUUAUGGAACAAGAUAAUGCUAUUAGAUUUGUUAAACACUCCAAUAGUUUUCCAUUUUCAAAUACCUUUAAUUCAAGGUGGAAGAAUCAUCCAAAUCUAUCUUAGAAGAGUGGACAAGGACAAUUUUUUUCUAACAUGCAAACUUCUCAAAAUCAAGUUUCACCAAUAGAACAAGCUAUAGUGAAUUUGAGUAAAGUGAUGGGUGACUUCAUCGGAGUUCAAAAGAAUAUCAAUACUCAAGUAAAUCAAAGGAUAGAUCAUGUGGAGACAUCUUUCAAUAAGAAAAUUGAUAGCUUGAAAACCAAUCUCACACAAAAAAAUUGAUAAUAUGUAGCUUGCUAUUUCUAAACUCACAAGUAUGCAUACGAUGCAAGAAAAAGGAAAAUUCCCUUCACAAUCCAAACAAAAUCCAAGGGGAGUUCAUGAAAUUGGAGAAAAAAAUGAAAAUUUUGCUAAGGUAGAUGAAGUGAAGGCAAUUAUUACCUUAACAGGUGGUAAGCAAGUUGAUCAACUUAUGCCAAAACCAAAAGAGAACAAAGGAGGGGAACAAGAAGAAAAUGUGAGAAAAAUGAAAAGAAGUGAAUGAAGAUGAUAGAUCAAAGGAAGAUGAGAUUGUUAAUGAAGAGGUUAAGAAGAAAGACAAGCUCUUAUCUCCACCUUUUCCAAAAGCUCUUUAAUUAAGGAAAGUGGUAAAUAAUGCAACUGAAAUUUUUGAAGUUCUCAAGCAAGUCAAAGUUAACAUAUCACUUCUAGACAUGAUCAAGCAAGUCCCUCUCUAUGCUGAGUUACUUAAAAAUUUAUGUACAAUGAAGAGGGGGUUGGACAUAAAAAAGAAAGCUUUCUUAAUGGAACAAUGUAAGACUCCAAUAAAAUAUAAAGAUUUGGGGUGUCCUACCAUUUCGGUGAAUAUUGGAGAUAUGUAUGUAGAGAAAGCUCUUCUUGACUUGGGUGCAAGUGUAAAUCUUCUUCCUUAUUCGGUGUACAAGCAAUUGGGGCUAAGGGAACUCAAGCCUACUUCUAUCACAUUAUCUUUGGUGGAUAGCUCAAUUAAAAUUCCAAGAGGAGUGAUUGAAGAUGUAUUGGUUCAAACGGAUAAGUUUUACUAUCCGAUUGAUUUUAUUAUCCUUGAUACGGAGCCAAUAGCAAGUGGACCAAAUCAUGUUCCAAUUAUUAUUGGUAGACCUUUCUUAGCCAUAGCAAAUGCUUUAAUAAAUUGUUGGAAUGAGGUGAUGUAGCUCACCUUUGGGAAUAUGACUCUUAAGCUGAAUAUUUUUCAUCUAUGCAAGAGACAUCCAAAUCAAGAUGAGGAUGAACAAGAAGUUUGCUUGAUUGAUACUCUUAUAGAAGAACAUGUGGAAGCAAUAAUGAAGGAAGAGUUGGAGAAUAGUUACAAAGAAUUUGAAGAAAAUGAACUAGAAGAAAAAAUUGAGGAAGCUAAUGAAAUUGCCUCCAUUAAUCAUUCUAUGGAAUGGAAGGCAAAAGAGAAGCCUUUACCUCUAACCAAUGAUGAAGAAACAAAGAAGAAAGAAUCACCUAAGUUCAAUCUCAAGCCAUUGCCAAAUGAUUUGAAAUAUGCAUAUCUUGAGGAAGAUAGGUAUUCGGUGUUAAUCUCUUCAAAAUUAUCAUACCAACAAGAAAAUACUUUGAUGGAAGUUCGAAGGAAAUGCAAAGAAGCUAUUGGAUGGUCCAUUUCUGAUCAUAAGUGGACAAGUCUUUUGGUAUGCACUCACCACAUUUAUUUGGAGGAAAAUGCUAAGUCAAUUCAUUAACCUCAAAGGUGAUUGAAUCCUCACAUGCAAUAAGUUGUUCGAAAUGAGGUACUUAAGAUGCUAUAAGCUAGAAUUAUCUACUCUAUUUCAGAUAGCACUUGGGUAAGUCCUACUCAAGUUGUGCCUAAAAAGUCGGGAGUGACCGUGAUACAAAAUGAAAAGGGAGAAUCUAUUCUAAUAAGAUUGAUCAUGAGAUGGAGAGUGUGUAUUGACUAUCGAAAGCAGAACGUCGUCAUAAGGAAGGAUCAUUUUCCUCUUUCAUUCAUGGACCAAGUAUUGGAGGAGGUGUCGGGACAUCCUUAUUAUUGUUUUCUUGAUGGCUACUCUGGUUAUUUUUAGAUUGAGAUUGCCUUGGAAGAUCAAGAGAAGAAAAUAUUUACUUUCCCUUUUGGUACCUAUGCAUAUAGGAGGAUGCCAUUUGGUUUAUGCAAUGCUCCUACCACUUUUCAAAGAUGCAUGAUAAGUAUCUUUAGUGAUAUGGUAGAGAGAAUCAUGGAAGUUUUUAUGGAUGAACUUACCAUCUAUGGUGAGGAUUUUGAAGAUUGUCUCUCAAAUUUGAAAAAAAAGAAAAAAACUUCAAAGGUGCAUUGAGAAAAAUUUAGUGCUAAAUUGGGAGAAAUACUACUUUAUGGUAAAAAAGGCAUUGUCUUAGGUCAUUUGUCUCAAGGAAAUGAAUCGAAGUGGAUAAAGCAAAGAUUGAGCUAAUUGUGAAUCUACCACCACCAACAAAUGUUAAAGAAAUUAGGCCAUUUCUUGGUCAUGCUGGUUUUUAUAGACGCUUCAUCAAGGAUUUUUCUAAACUAGCAAGACCAAUGUGUGCCUUACUUGUUAAGGAUGCCAAAUUCAAAUGGGAUGAAAAUUGUCAAAAUUGCUUUGAAGAGUUGAAAAGACUAUUGACUAGUGCACCUAUUGUGAGGAGACCAAAUUAGGAACUUCCUUUUGAAGUUAUUUGUGAUGCAAGUGAUCAAGAAAUGGAAGCAAUUCUAGGGUAAAGAGAUGAAGAGAAACCUUAUGUUAUCUACUAUGCAAGCAAAACUCUUAAUGAGGCACAAAAGAACUACACCACCACUGAAAAAGAGUUGCUUGCAGUUGUCUUUACAUUAGAUAAGUUUAGAGCAUAUCUUGUUGGAGCUCCUAUAAUGAUCUUCACAGAUCAUUCAACUUUGAAAUACUUAGUCAACAAGAAGGACUUUAAAGCAAGGCUAAUUCGAUGGAUUUUACUUCUUCAAGAAUUCAAUCUUGAAAUAAGAGAUAAGAAAGGUGUAGAAAAUGUGGUAGCUGACCAUCUAUCCCAAAUUUUUGUGGAACACAUUCCGAAAAGUCCUCCCAUCAAUGAAGAAUUUCCCGAUGGUGCUCUUUUGAAAGUGGAUACCAAUCCAUGGUAUGCUCAUAUUGCAAAUUAUCUAGUCACCGGAGAACUACCUAAGGAAUGGACUACUCAAGAGAAAAGAUUUUUCUUGUCUAAGGUGCAUGCAUACUAUUGGGAGGAACCAUUUUUGCACAAGUAUUGUGCUGAUCAAAUUAUUAGGAAGUGUGUGCCAGAAGAAGAAAAACAAGGAAUUCUUAUGCAAUGCAAUGCUUAUGCUUGUGGAAGCCAUUUCUCUACUCAAAAGACAGCUUUAAAGCUUCUCCAAUCAGGUUUUUAUUGACUAGCUAUAUUCAAAGAUGCACAUGAAGUUUGCAAGUCUUGUGAUAAGUGUCAAAGGCUUGGGAAAUUGACAAAGAAACACAUGAUGCCACUUAACCCCAUAUUGGUAGUGGAAUUAUUUGAUGUAUGAGGGAUUGAUUUCAUGAGAUCGUUUCCAUCCUGUUUUGGACACUCCUAUAUCUUGUAGGAGUUGACUAUGUGUCAAAGUGAGUGGAAGCAAUAGCUUGUAAGCAUAAUGAUCACAAAGUGGUUGUAAAAUUUCUCAAGGAAAAUAUCUUCACAAUGUUUGGGGUGCUAAAGGCCAUUAUUAGUGAUGGAGGUACUCACUUUUACAAUAAGACAUUCAACAACCUUCUUGCUAGAUAUGGAGUGAAACACAAGGUAGCCAGACCUUACCAUCCACAAACAAGUGGACAAGUGGAGUUAGCUAACCUUGAAAUCAAGAAUAUCCUGAUGAAAGUGGUGAAUGCAAACUGCAAGGAUUGGGCAUUAAGACUCCAUGAUGCACUUUAGGCUUACCAAAUUGCCUUCAAAACAAUUCUUGGAAUGUCACCGUAUAGGUUGGUUUUUGGUAAGGCAUGUCAUCUACUAGUGGAAAUAGAGUAUAAAGCAUGGUAGGCUAUAAAGAAAUUGAAUUUUGAUAUGCAAGGAGUUGGGUUGAAGAGGGUCCUAGACUUGAAUGAGUUAGAGGAAAAGAGAAAUGAAGCCUGCAUGAAUUCAAAAUUUCCAAGGACAAACUCAAGAGAUGUCAUGAUCAAAUUGUCCUUAGGAAAAAGUUUCAAAAGAGACAAAAGGUGCUCCUAUAUGAUUCAAAAUUGCACAUCUUUUUUAGAAAGCUCAAAUCUUGAUGGAAUGGUCCAUACUUGGUUCAUAAGGCGUAUUCGAAUGGAGUUGUUGAAAUUGCUAAUCCAAAGAUUGGGAUAUCUCCAAAGUUAAUGGACAUUGACUUAAACCAUAUAUGGAACCUAUGGUGCAAGAGAAAGAGUAGCUAUACCUCCUUGAACCUUCCAUAAGUUGAGCAUUCAAGGUUUGGUGGGCUUAGUCUUCUAAAAGAUAACUAGCCCAAUGAUCUUGUAAUUCUUUUUCUUUGAAUUUUUCUAUUUUGUUUUUAUGUUGUUUGAAUUUUUUUUAGUCUUUAUGAAUGAACCCUUGUUAACCAUAUCAAUUGUGUUUUGAAGGACUUUUUGGUUGGAUGGAAUGCAUGAGGAAAAAGGAGUUUUAAUGGUCCAUCACCAGUUUGCACAUUCAUGCCAAAAACAGGGGAGUUUUUAUAGUUUUGAAAAUGCAAAACAAUGAGUCUUUAUCCCAGUUCGCAUGAUCAUGCAAAAUUUUGGCAUGACUAUGUGAAACUGAUAAGGAUAGCUGUAGUCUGGACCAUUUUGCAUCAUCAUGCGAAUAUUUCACAUGACUAUGCGAAAGUCAUCUUAAAGACUACAAUAAAAUGAGCACUCUGGACCACUUCGCACACUUAUGCGAGAAUUUUGCAUGUUUGUACCAAUUUUUUUUUUUUAAAUAUGUAGCAAAUAUAAGCCUCUGUUUCAUUUCGCACCAUUAAGUGAAAACAAGCCCUCAUUCCAAAACUCUUCGUCUUCAUCGGACACGAGAAACUGAAGAGGUAGAAGACCAUCAGUCCUUUUUCCCUUUCAUUCACACUCUCUCAUAUCUCUUCCUUGCCCUAAACCACGAUCAAACAUAAGAAAAUAUCAUUAUUCUUGUUUUUUUAUUUCUAAAGAUUUACUUGAGCAUUCUCAGCAUUUCAGGUAUUUGAUUUUUCACUCAUCUCUCUUUGAAAUUGCAAAAUGAAUCCGGAUUGAAAAGUUUGAUUUGCUUUGGGACCUUGUUGUAAUUUUUUGUGAAUUUUGGACAAAUUGAUAUCCUCUAUUCCAGUUAUCAUUCAAUUCAUUAAAUUGUCCACUGUAAUUUUUGGUUCUUUUUUGUUAUAGACGGGGAAUCAAAAACAAAAAUCAAUGGAAAUUAAGGAAGAGUUCAUGGUGAUUAAUGACAGAAAUGGAGAAGACACUGGUCUUGAAUUUCCUUCGGGAUUCUCCAUUUCUGAAAUUCCCAUUUCUGGACAUCCAAACCAAAGGCAUGUCACAAGAUCUUCACUAGAUAAAGGCAAAUCAAAGAUGGUUGUUCCUGAAAAAUUACCGGUGAAGAGAACACAAAGCAUCAAUAUUCAAAAUCCUUCAUCUCUUCCGACAUCCCCUGCUACUCCUUUAGUUCAACAUGUUGUAGUUAAGUCACCUAUUGCUGAAGCCCUUGCUCCUACUCCGGUUACAAAAUCUGCACCUCCAUCGAGCCGACCAAUUCAAUUUCAAUUCAUGAAAACCCUGAAUAAGAAACUAGCCACUGGUGCAAGAGAAGACUGUUCAGGUAGAAAAUUCCAUGAAGAAUCCUACUACGAUUUCAAGGCAUUUGCUGUAUCUCCUCUUCCUAAAUUCUCCAUGGAGUUGUGUCAUCAAUAUUUUUUGGAGCCAUUCAUGGUACCUAGACCAUUCUUUUAUCCUCGCAUAAUUUAGGAAUUUUACCAAACCAUGACUAGCAGAAAAGUCUAUCCUCCUUCAGUGAUCUAUUUCGAAAUCGAUGGGAGACAAGGUAUGUUGAAUAUUGAAAUGGUAGCAAGAGCCUUGGAUAUUCCUCUUACACCUCCAAAUCCAGCUGAGUUUCAACCUAUUACUCAAACUGAAGCUACUAAAAUGGUUCAGAUUGUCUCUCAAAACCAAUCCACCAAUACACAUGCAAUGUUGAAGAGAGAAAUAGAUUCCAAAUUCUGGUUUUUGGAUCAUGUCCUACGCUCCAAUGUUUAUCAUUUCCAACAUGCGAUGAAAAGGUGAGAAGAUAUACUAAUGGCAUUAUUUAGAAUUGUUAGUGGGUAAUGGUGGACACCUAUUGAAUUAUUCAUGGUUGUCCUAUUCUAUUUUGAAGACAAAGUGCAUUUGAAGAGGUUGCAAAGAGCCAAUAAAUAUCCAUUAUUCUUCCCUCGAAUGUUGGGCACCAUCUUGGAGUACUAUGGUUUCCUUACUGAACUUGGAAAAAAAAAAAAAAAACAUCAUUGUAAGGAAGUCUAUACUGUUUCCAGAUGGCAAGGAAGUGUGACCAAAACCAAGUCUACACUAACAAGUGCUUCAUUGACUACUGAUAAUGAACAUCAUUAUGUGUCUCCUCCAAAUUUGAUUCUUAAAGAUUUUGUUGAUAGAGAAGAUACAACCCCAAGACCACUAGUUGCCCCCACACCAGAAGUUUUUUUUUACUUUUCCAAAUAUUGAUGCAGCCGCACAUAUUUUGGCUAGUCUUUCUUCCACACCAAACACAAGUUCUUCAUCUUUUGAUGGUUAUGUACAUAUUUUAGCUGAGGCUUUCAAACAACUCUUAGCUCGUUUGGGCAUGAUUCAAGAAAAUCAAGCAAACAUCCAGCUCACUCAACAUCAACUUGUCCAAAGAGUUGAUGAACUUACCAUGGUUGUCCAAUAAUGGAAAUCUUCUUCUGAGAAGCCAACUAGUGUUCAUGAUGCUACUCCUCCGUCCAUCCCAACUACACAAAAGACUAAUUCUUCACAGUGGGAGUCCACAUUGCCUACCACUAUUGUGACACCUUAAGAGAUCAUCCUCUUUCCCCCGUCUCAUGAUUGAGGAUAGGGAGUGCCCCUCUACUUUUCUUCUUAACUGUCACUUUAUCAUUACAUAUACUCCUUGACUUCCUUCGUGUUUUUUUUUUUGUUAUGAUGAUAGUUUUCACUUUUUGUUUCCUCAUUUCCUACCAUACUUAUAAUUUUAUAUUGUUUUUUUUUUUUUUAAGUUAUAGGAGCUGAAAAACAAUGCUUUGCAGGUACCUUUCCCUUCAUUUCUUUGCAUUUUCUCGAUUAACAUUGAAGACAAUGUUUAGUUUGGUUGGGGGAUGAUAAGAAAGGAAGAGAAAGAGGUUUCUUGUUGAUUUAAAAUUGUAAGAUAUUUUUUUCUUUUGUUUCUUUUGAUUGUGAUAAUUUUUAUUAGCUAGAUUUUUUUAAAACUUAAUUGGUAAUUUUUUUAGAAGAACAUAACACUUAUGUCUGAUGAAUGAGCAUACCUAGCUUGAAAGGAGUUGAUUUGGAAUACCAACUCAUUUGUGUGAUCUUAUAAAAUUUGUUAUGUUGAUUGAAUUUGAUUUGACUUUGAAGUUUUCAUUUUCCCAAGGGUCUUUUCUAAUUGAGUCUUGACACACACUAUGCACUCUAGACCCUUGAUAUAAGAUGAAACACUAGUCUAACCCUAAAACUUGGACCCAAUUGUUUUAGUACUUGAAUCACUUUUAAAUUGAGUUGAGACACCUUAAAAAGAGCCUAAUAAGGCCACCUUAAAAAAAAA
RNAcentral lists this long non-coding RNA (13856 nucleotides) under Vitis vinifera (wine grape). RNAcentral describes it as "long non-coding RNA (VVIN_LNC006636)". Lineage: Eukaryota; Viridiplantae; Streptophyta; Magnoliopsida; Vitales; Vitaceae. The record is from RNAcentral.